This 460-nucleotide ribosomal RNA is filed under the name uncultured bacterium. RNAcentral describes it as "partial 16S ribosomal RNA". It matches the Rfam family "Bacterial small subunit ribosomal RNA", at positions 338 to 795 of the family's 1533-position model. The record is from RNAcentral.
CCUACGGGAGGCAGCAGUGAGGAAUAUUGGUCAAUGGGCGCUAGCCUGAACCAGCCAAGUAGCGUGAAGGAUGACUGCCCUAUGGGUUGUAAACUUCUUUUAUAUGGGAAUAAAGUGCAGUAUGUAUACUGCUUUUCAUGUACCUUAUGAAUAAGGAUCGGCUAACUCCGUGCCAGCAGCCGCGGUAAUACGGAGGCUCCGAGCGUUAUCCGGAUUUAUUGGGUUUAAAGGGAGGGUAGGCGGGUUGUCUAGUCAGUUGGUAAAGUUUGGGGGCUAACCGUAAAAUUGCAGUUGAUACUGGCAUUCUUGAGUACAGGAGAGGUAGGCGGAAUUCGUGGUGUAGCGGUGAAAGGCUUAGAUAUCACGAAGAACUCCGAUUGCGAAGGCAGCCUGCUGGACUGUAACUGACGCUGAUGCUCGAAAGUGUGGGUAUCAAACAGGAUUAGAUACCCCAGUAGUC